Molecule: ribosomal RNA, 253 nt
Filed under: uncultured bacterium
Lineage: Bacteria
Description: partial 16S ribosomal RNA
Rfam family: Bacterial small subunit ribosomal RNA
Source: RNAcentral
UACGUAGGGUGCGAGCGUUGUCCGGAAUUAUUGGGCGUAAAGGGCUCGUAGGCGGUUUGUCGCGUCGGGAGUGAAAACCCAGGGCUUAACCCUGGGCUGGCUUCCGAUACGGGCAGACUAGAGGUAUGCAGGGGAGAACGGAAUUCCUGGUGUAGCGGUGAAAUGCGCAGAUAUCAGGAGGAGCACCGGUGGCGAAGGCGGUUCUCUGGGCAUUACCUGACGCUGAGGAGCGAAAGCGUGGGGAGCGAACAGG